UGUACCCGUGAUAAUGACGGGUGCAAGAUGAGUUAUGCAUGAUGUUCACCGCUUAUCUAGAACGCGGAGGUCCAA
Molecule: small nucleolar RNA, 75 nt
Organism: Ailuropoda melanoleuca (giant panda)
Lineage: Eukaryota; Metazoa; Chordata; Mammalia; Carnivora; Ursidae
Source: Ensembl